GGCGAAAUGUAACGAGAUUCUUUUAGAUUCGGAGGGUCUUUGUACGAUGGAAGCAAAAUAUGUCGUGUUGUGUAUUGAUUCUAGAAGAGGUUAGAAUCAUUCGAGCUAAUUUGUGGUUUACGUUCCGAUGUUUGUGAAAUGUAACGUUUUACACGUAAUGGAAGCUAUUCACAAUAAUGAAGUCGUUCUACUAUUCCAAAACAAUUAUAAAUUCUAAAAUAAUUUUAAAAAGGUUUUAUAAUGUGUUUAUUUUGGAAUAAAAACAAGAUUAUGGAAAGAAGAUUUUAUUAAAGGAGAUUAUUGAAGAUUCUUUAUCACGUACAAAGAGAGAUUUACAAUUACAUAUCUCGCUAAUAGCCAUCAGGAUGAUUUCCAGCGACGAUUGCCACAAAUAAUACCUUGCCGAUCGAUAGAUGGAAUCGACGUUGGAAAUUAAUUGGUGCCGUUAGUUGCCGAGUUAAUUGCCGCUCAUACUACAAGCGCGCCACUUUUUCUCGUCUUGAACCGAUCCUCGACAUAAUCUCGUCGAUCACCGGAACAGGAGCAAAGAAAUCGAGUGUCUAGACGUGAUGAUGAUCGUCGAGGUAAGUUUUAUAAUGUUCGACAACAUUCGAUAGAUAAUAGAGAUCAAAAGAAAUGUGAGUCGAUGUUUUGGUGAGAUGGAUUACACGAGACAAGAGGAAACGAAGAGCUCGCGUUCUCGUUCGACGAGUUAAUUGAUCGGCAUCACGAGGGACCAUCAUGGAGUAGGUCAUGAUUUGUGUUUUGUUCAUUCGGUAUACCUGGUAAGGUAAUCCUUUUUUUUUUCGAUUUUAUCCAUGGUUUUUAUAUUUUAUUUGUUUUUUAUACUAUUGUAAAUUCAUUAUAUUCUUUUUUCUAAAUAUAUUUUUAGAGAAAAAAAAUAGAAUUUUUAUAAGUUUUUGUAUUUUAAAUUUUUAAUUUUAGAAAAAUGUAUAUUUCUAUAAAAAGAUUUUAAUCUAAAUGAAAAUUCUUUUUUUCUAAUUACAUUAUUUCAAAAAUUCUUCUGUUGCGCCACUGCUGAACAACGGUACUUCAGAUAUUUUUUCACCUAAUCAUUAUUACAUACCAACACCUCUUAAAUCAUAGAAAUCUUCCAUACAAUGCAUAAAAUAACCAUUUAUCUUUUACCUAAUGAAAUUCACAUCACAAAACUUUCCUCAGAAAUGAUUUAUUAUCACAAAAUUUUUCUACGUGUCUCGUAAAACUAUAUUUAUUCAUUGAUGUAUUCAAAGAAAAAUCUUCUUAUCUAAAUCAAUUGCAAUUUAACUUUAGAAAUACUUUAUUGUUGCAAAGUUUUGCAUAAUUUAUAUAAAUCUUAAUUUUCUUAAAAAAAAAAGAAAUUUAUUGCAAAUUUUUUUUAGAUUGAUAUUUCUAAGAGAAAUAUUUCUUGUUAAGAUUAAUAAGUACUUAAGUAACUCACUUAAUUCACUUACAGUAAUCUUAUAUUUUUAUAAAAAUCCUAUACUUUUUAUUAUAAUAAUAAAAUUUCUUCACAUAUCA
Long non-coding RNA from Apis cerana (Asiatic honeybee), 1521 nucleotides. RefSeq lists it as uncharacterized. Lineage: Eukaryota; Metazoa; Arthropoda; Insecta; Hymenoptera; Apidae. The record is from RefSeq and is a predicted model, not a curated record.